ACCAUCCUUUUUUGGGGGUAGUACGACUGUCCAAUGAAUGAGUAGUGAGGGUAGUACUGCUAAUGCCUAUCCAGCAUGCCCACAUCAACAAGAGCUUUGCUUCACUUUGGUGCAAUUUUUGGAAAA
RNAcentral lists this non-coding RNA (126 nucleotides) under Prolemur simus (greater bamboo lemur). RNAcentral describes it as "U4atac minor spliceosomal RNA (ENSPSMG00000011183.1)". It matches the Rfam family "U4atac minor spliceosomal RNA". Rfam says of the family: U4atac is an essential component of the minor U12-type spliceosome complex which is required for removal of the rarer class of eukaryotic introns (AT-AC, U12-type). These interacting stem loops have been shown to be required for in vivo splicing. The record is from Rfam by way of RNAcentral. Lineage: Eukaryota; Metazoa; Chordata; Mammalia; Primates; Lemuridae.